This 775-nucleotide ribosomal RNA is filed under the name uncultured Neocallimastigales. RNAcentral's name for it is "partial large subunit ribosomal RNA". It matches the Rfam family "Eukaryotic large subunit ribosomal RNA", at positions 22 to 637 of the family's 3401-position model. Lineage: Eukaryota; Fungi; Neocallimastigomycota; Neocallimastigomycetes; Neocallimastigales. The record is from RNAcentral.
GUACACGCUGUGACUAGCAUAUCAAUAAGCGGAGGAAAAGAAACUAACAAGGAUUCCCCUAGUAACGGCGAGUGAAGCGGGAAGAGCUCAAAUUUGAAAUCUUAAAGGGUUUCCCUUUACGAAUUGUAGUUUAAAGAAGUGUUUUCUGUUGAGGUUUUGGUAAAAGUUCUUUGGAAUAGGACAUCAUAGAGGGUGAGAAUCCCGUAUUUGACCUUUACUUUCAACUUUGUGAUACACUUUCAAAGAGUCAGGAUUGUUUGGGAAUGCAGUCCAAAAUGGGUGGUAAAUUUCAUCUAAAGCUAAAUAUUGGCGAGAGACCGAUAGCGAACAAGUACCGUGAGGGAAAGAUGAAAAGAACUUUGAAAAGAGAGUUAAACAGUACGUGAAAUUGUCAAAAGGGAAGCGUUUGACAUCAGUGUUGUUUUUCUGAAAAUCAAUUAAAGAACUGUUUAUGCUAAGUUGUUUAGACUUUAUCAGCUAACUGUUUAGUUUUGAGCUUUUCUUUAAUGCACUUUUCAGUUAACAAGUCAACAUCAAUUUCUUUUGCUGUAAAAAAGCUUGAGGAAGGUGGCUUGAGAUUCGUCUUAAGUGUUUAUAGCCUCUUGCCUAUGCAGUCGGAGAGAUUGAGGUCUGCAGCGUAGAUCCUUCGGGGCUAAAUGCAUUUGUGCUAAGUUAUAGCAUUUUAUAGACAACUUGUUGACUAUGAUUUGUCUUGUAGCUUACUCGCUUAUGUUAUUUUACCUACGCUUAGGAUGUUGACAGCAGUAUAGACUGU